CCUACGGGGGGCUGCAGUGGGGAAUAUUGCACAAUGGGCGCAAGCCUGAUGCAGCCAUGCCGCGUGUGUGAAGAAGGCCUUCGGGUUGUAAAGCACUUUCAGCGGGGAGGAAGGCGUUAAGGUUAAUAACCUUGGCGAUUGACGUUACCCGCAGAAGAAGCACCGGCUAACUCCGUGCCAGCAGCCGCGGUAAUACGGAGGGUGCAAGCGUUAAUCGGAAUUACUGGGCGUAAAGCGCACGCAGGCGGUCUGUCAAAUCGGAUGUGAAAUCCCCGGGCUCAACCUGGGAACUGCAUUCGAAACUGGCAGGCUAGAGUCUUGUAGAGGGGGGUAGAAUUCCAGGUGUAGCGGUGAAAUGCGUAGAGAUCUGGAGGAAUACCGGUGGCGAAGGCGGCCCCCUGGACAAAGACUGACGCUCAGGUGCGAAAGCGUGGGGAGCAAACAGGAUUAGAUACCCGAGUAGUC
Molecule: ribosomal RNA, 465 nt
Filed under: uncultured Klebsiella sp.
Lineage: Bacteria; Pseudomonadati; Pseudomonadota; Gammaproteobacteria; Enterobacterales; Enterobacteriaceae
Description: bacterial SSU rRNA
Rfam family: Bacterial small subunit ribosomal RNA
Source: RNAcentral